Molecule: long non-coding RNA, 308 nt
Organism: Manduca sexta (tobacco hornworm)
Lineage: Eukaryota; Metazoa; Arthropoda; Insecta; Lepidoptera; Sphingidae
Exons: 2
Source: RefSeq, a predicted model, not a curated record
GAAUCUUCCAUAUUCCAGUGUGAUCCUAGACUCGGACCCAACAUCCAUCGUGAGUCGCGCUGCGUUGCGCACAGAGGACGUGCCACUAGGAGAGCAGACAGUAGCGCAGGUUCUACAAUCGGCGAAGGAGCAGCUCAAGUGGUCAUUGUUGAAAUGAAAAAAAAAAACACAUAUUGCAUUCUUUAUCUAUAAUUAAUUUUAUUCCCAUUAAAUAUAUUUACACGUAAAGAUGAUGGUAUGUUUUUAGAAAAACAUGAACAGUAUUUUUCACUACUUCAUUUUAAAGAAAUAUAGAAUCUUUAACAGUA